Molecule: ribosomal RNA, 1372 nt
Filed under: uncultured bacterium
Lineage: Bacteria
Description: bacterial SSU rRNA
Rfam family: Bacterial small subunit ribosomal RNA
Source: RNAcentral
GAUGAACGCUGGCGGCGUGCCUAAUACAUGCAAGUCGAGCGAACGGACGAGAAGCUUGCUUUUCUGAUGUUAGCGGCGGACGGGUGAGUAACACGUGGAUAACCUACCUAUAAGACUGGGAUAACUUCGGGAAACCGGAGCUAAUACCGGAUAAUAUUUUGAACCGCAUGGUUCAAAAGUGAAAGACGGUCUUGCUGUCACUUAUAGAUGGAUCCGCGCUGCAUUAGCUAGUUGGUAAGGUAACGGCUUACCAAGGCAACGAUGCAUAGCCGACCUGAGAGGGUGAUCGGCCACACUGGAACUGAGACACGGUCCAGACUCCUACGGGAGGCAGCAGUAGGGAAUCUUCCGCAAUGGGCGAAAGCCUGACGGAGCAACGCCGCGUGAGUGAUGAAGGUCUUCGGAUCGUAAAACUCUGUUAUUAGGGAAGAACAUAUGUGUAAGUAACUGUGCACAUCUUGACGGUACCUAAUCAGAAAGCCACGGCUAACUACGUGCCAACAGCCGCGGUAAUACGUAGGUGGCAAGCGUUAUCCGGAAUUAUUGGGCGUAAAGCGCGCGUAGGCGGUUUUUUAAGUCUGAUGUGAAAGCCCACGGCUCAACCGUGGAGGGUCAUUGGAAACUGGAAAACUUGAGUGCAGAAGAGGAAAGUGGAAUUCCAUGUGUAGCGGUGAAAUGCGCAGAGAUAUGGAGGAACACCAGUGGCGAAGGCGACUUUCUGGUCUGUAACUGACGCUGAUGUGCGAAAGCGUGGGGAUCAAACAGGAUUAGAUACCCUGGUAGUCCACGCCGUAAACGAUGAGUGCUAAGUGUUAGGGGGUUUCCGCCCCUUAGUGCUGCAGCUAACGCAUUAAGCACUCCGCCUGGGGAGUACGACCGCAAGGUUGAAACUCAAAGGAAUUGACGGGGACCCGCACAAGCGGUGGAGCAUGUGGUUUAAUUCGAAGCAACGCGAAGAACCUUACCAAAUCUUGACAUCCUUUGACAACUCUAGAGAUAGAGCCUUCCCCUUCGGGGGACAAAGUGACAGGUGGUGCAUGGUUGUCGUCAGCUCGUGUCGUGAGAUGUUGGGUUAAGUCCCGCAACGAGCGCAACCCUUAAGCUUAGUUGCCAUCAUUAAGUUGGGCACUCUAAGUUGACUGCCGGUGACAAACCGGAGGAAGGUGGGGAUGACGUCAAAUCAUCAUGCCCCUUAUGAUUUGGGCUACACACGUGCUACAAUGGACAGUACAAAGGGCAGCGAAACCGCGAGGUCAAGCAAAUCCCAUAAAGUUGUUCUCAGUUCGGAUUGUAGUCUGCAACUCGACUACAUGAAGCUGGAAUCGCUAGUAAUCGUAGAUCAGCAUGCUACGGUGAAUACGUUCCCGGGUCU